Molecule: long non-coding RNA, 293 nt
Organism: Xenopus laevis (African clawed frog)
Lineage: Eukaryota; Metazoa; Chordata; Amphibia; Anura; Pipidae
Exons: 2
Source: RefSeq, a predicted model, not a curated record
UCUUCAUAGACAGUCAGUGAUGUGAGAGGGAUGUUGGUUGGUGUUUUGCAUAGAGACAUUGUGUGGCUAAACUGCAGCUGCUAUAAAAGUGCCAGUGUCCCUGUGCCAUAUUAAUGAUCUGUAUGUGUCACAGUGCAUAGAUAGAGACAUGUCUUAUCCCACUUAUCUACUGCUGCUGCUGGGGAUCCUCCUGAUCUUUAGCCAAGGUUCCUAUGGGCAGAUUGUACUGACUCAGUCUCCAGAUUAUGUCUCUGUGUCACCAGGAGAAACUGUCACCAUCACAUGUAAAGCCA